This 490-nucleotide ribosomal RNA is filed under the name uncultured bacterium. RNAcentral describes it as "partial 16S ribosomal RNA". It matches the Rfam family "Bacterial small subunit ribosomal RNA", at positions 30 to 507 of the family's 1533-position model. The record is from RNAcentral.
AUUGAACGCUGGCGGCAGGCCUAACACAUGCCAGUCGAACGGUAACAGGAAGAAGCUUGCUUCUUUGCUGACGAGUGGCGGACGGGUGAGUAAUGUCUGGGAAACUGCCUGAUGGAGGGGGAUAACUACUGGAAACGGUAGCUAAUACCGCAUAACGUCGCAAGACCAAAGAGGGGGACCUUCGGGCCUCUUGCCAUCGGAUGUGCCCAGAUGGGAUUAGCUAGUAGGUGGGGUAACGGCUCACCUAGGCGACGAUCCCUAGCUGGUCUGAGAGGAUGACCAGCCACACUGGAACUGAGACACGGUCCAGACUCCUACGGGAGGCAGCAGUGGGGAAUAUUGCACAAUGGGCGCAAGCCUGAUGCAGCCAUGCCGCGUGUAUGAAGAAGACCUUCGGGUUGUAAAGUACUUUCAGCGGGGAGGAAGGGAGUAAAGUUAAUACCUUUACUCAUUGACGGUACCCGCAGAAGAAGCACCGGCUAACUCCGUG